This 411-nucleotide ribosomal RNA is filed under the name Rhizophagus intraradices. RNAcentral's name for it is "partial large subunit ribosomal RNA". Lineage: Eukaryota; Fungi; Glomeromycota; Glomeromycetes; Glomerales; Glomeraceae. The record is from RNAcentral.
AGAGUUAAAUAGCACGUGAAAUUGUUGAAAGGGAAACGAUUGAAGCCAGUCGUACCUUCGGGUAAUCAACCUUUCGGGUGCGAUUCUGUGGGUCUUGGGAGCUUCACGGCCCUUAUGGUCUACAUAUUUGUGUCCUUUGAGUGUACUUUCCCGGUGGUAGGUUAACAUCAAUUUCGGUUAUCAUAAAAUGAUGGGAGGAAUGUAGCUUCGAUCUCGGUUGAAGUGUUAUAGCCUCUGGUAGAUGUGAUGAUUGGGAUUGAGGAUUGCAACGAAUACCCUUUGGGCUACCCGUCUGAUCUCUGAUGGUUGCUAUGGUGACGAAAGCGUGCUUAUGUUAUCAGAGUUUGAUCGUCAAAAGGUUAGAACGGGUUAAAUUCGUUAAGGAUGUUGACGUAAUGGCUUUAAACGACC